GCUCUGGUGGCUCAAUCGGAUAGAGCAUUGGGCUACUAAUGCAAAGGUUGCGGGUUCAAGUCCCGCCCAGAGUA
Molecule: transfer RNA, 74 nt
Filed under: Perkinsus olseni
Lineage: Eukaryota; Perkinsozoa; Perkinsida; Perkinsidae
Description: tRNA-Ser
Rfam family: tRNA
About the family: Transfer RNA (tRNA) molecules are approximately 80 nucleotides in length.
Source: RNAcentral